AGAACGAACGCUGGCGGCAUGCCUAACACAUGCAAGUCGAACGUGAUCCAUGACUUCGGUUGUGGUGAAAGUGGCAAACGGGUGAGUAACGCGUGGGAAUCUGCCCAGAGGUAGGGAAUAACCGCGGGAAACUGCGGCUAAUACCCUAUGUGCCCUACGGGGCAAAGAUUUAUCGCCUUUGGAGGAGCCCGCGUCGGAUUAGGUAGUUGGUAGGGUAACGGCCUACCAAGCCUACGAUCCGUAGCUGGUCUGAGAGGAUGAUCAGCCACACUGGGACUGAGAUACGGCCCAGACUCCUACGGGAGGCAGCAGUGGGGAAUAUUGGACAAUGGGGGCAACCCUGAUCCAGCAAUGCCGCGUGAGUGAUGAAGGCCUUCGGGUUGUAAAGCUCUUUCGGCGGGAAGAUGAUGACGGUACCCGCAGAAGAAGCCCCGGCUAACUUCGUGCCAGCAGCCGC
Molecule: ribosomal RNA, 457 nt
Filed under: uncultured bacterium
Lineage: Bacteria
Description: SSU rRNA
Rfam family: Bacterial small subunit ribosomal RNA
Source: RNAcentral